This 363-nucleotide long non-coding RNA is filed under the name Pongo abelii (Sumatran orangutan). Its description in RNAcentral is "lincRNA". The record is from RNAcentral. Lineage: Eukaryota; Metazoa; Chordata; Mammalia; Primates; Hominidae.
ACUACCACCGAGGCUCUCUCUCUGCUCGCUAGAACGGCAGCUAGAAAACUGGGAGGAGAGCUUCCUGGCCGCAUGAGCAAACUAGCAGCCCCUGAAGGGCGAUGAGAAAGAUAUGUAGGUGUGAUGCCUGGAACUCACGCAGCUAUCUUGCAACGACGAGGAUGAGGCUAAGAGAAUAGGAGAGAUCCUUGCUCAAACAGGCUGAACUUGAGUAUUUCGGGCCCUCAGAAGGAAGGACAAAGAUCCUGGAGAACUCUCCUGUAGUGUCCUUGUUUUGAGUAGCAAUGGAGGUGUAAACUGUGUCUGAUCUUCGAGUGAGAUGGAAAAAAAAAUUAAUUUGCCGCAUCAGUGUCCAUAUCCCAG